AUUGAACGCUGGCGGCGUGCUUAACACUUGCAAGUCGAACGAGAACGGAAUAUAGCUUGCCAUAUUUGUCAGCUAAGUGGCGCACGGGUGAGUAAUGUAUAGAUAACCUGCCCUUAAGAAAGGAAUAACAGUUGGAAACGACUGCUAACGCCCUAUAUGCCUUUAAUACAUAAGUAUGCAAGGGAAACGCUUUAGAGCUUAAGGAUGGGUCUGUAUGGUAUCAGCUUGUUGGUGAGGUAAUGGCUCACCAAGGCUAUGACGCCUAACUGGUUUGAGAGGAUGAUCAGUCACACUGGAACUGAGACACGGUCCAGACUCCUACGGGAGGCAGCAGUGGGGAAUAUUGCACAAUGGACGAAAGUCUGAUGCAGCAACGCCGCGUGGAGGAUGACACAUUUCGGUGCGUAAACUCCUUUUAUAUAGGAAGAUAAUGACGGUACUAUAUGAAUAAGCACCGGCUAACUCCGUGCCAGCAGCCGCGGUAA
RNAcentral lists this ribosomal RNA (485 nucleotides) under uncultured bacterium. RNAcentral describes it as "partial 16S ribosomal RNA". It matches the Rfam family "Bacterial small subunit ribosomal RNA", at positions 30 to 523 of the family's 1533-position model. The record is from RNAcentral.